UCGGAGGGAGCGCGCUCCUUUUGAAACGGGAGGAGGAGAUCCGCAUAGCUUAAAGGUGGGCUAGCGGUAGCUGACCCUCCGGGUCUCGAGUGGGGACCAGAGGAGGGGGCAUCUGUGUCGGCGGGGACCUCUCCGUGGGUUUGUCUGGCAGUGGCCACAGCUUUUUUCACUGGGCACGCCUUGGGCCGGCCGCGAGCUGUGAUCUACCGUGGCCAGGCCGCUCAGCCUCCCUCCAAACAAGCAGGAGGUUUUCUCCAGCUGGUCAAGAGAGUGGAAAUAAGAGACAUUCCAAGUGUGAUAAGGAUUCGAUGCAUAAUUAUGGUCAGCCUCCAGGAGCUCAGAACAGCCUCCAGCUAACAGCCCGCAGAGAAAUGAGGACUUCAAUCGUAUAACUGCCAAGUACUGCUGACAACCUAAAUCAGCCUCCAAGCGACCUCUUGCCCAGAGACUCCAGAUAAGAAAACCGCCCUUGAUUUCUUACAAAAUUCUAUGUGAGAACCAAGCCAAGCCUGCCUGGACUUCUGUCCUACAGAAGCAAGCUAAUAAAUUCAUGUUGUUUUAAGCCUCUAAA
This is a long non-coding RNA of Suricata suricatta (meerkat), 571 nucleotides long. RefSeq lists it as uncharacterized. The transcript has 2 exons. The record is from RefSeq and is a predicted model, not a curated record. NCBI's taxonomy places the organism in Eukaryota, Metazoa, Chordata, Mammalia, Carnivora, Herpestidae.